Molecule: ribosomal RNA, 449 nt
Filed under: Blastocystis sp.
Lineage: Eukaryota; Bigyra; Opalinata; Blastocystidae
Description: SSU rRNA
Rfam family: Eukaryotic small subunit ribosomal RNA
Source: RNAcentral
GGCAUCAGUCUUGCAUUGGAUUGAGAACAAUGUACAACUCUUAUCGAUAAGCCAUUGGAGGGCAAGUCUGGUGCCAGCAGCCGCGGUAAUUCCAGCUCCAAUAGCGUAUAUUAACGUUGUUGCAGUUAAAAAGCUCGUAGUUGAAGUGUGGGUGAUCGCUGUUGUGAGACUUCGGUCUCUCGACAGUAAGUCACCCCCUUCCAGUAUCCAGUAGUGGGUAUUCAGUUACUUACUAUUGUGUGUUGGUCCUUUACUGUGAGAAAAUUAGAGUGUUCAAAGCAGGCGUUUGCUUGAAUAGAUUAGCAUGGAAUAAUAAUUGAAGGCUUUCGUGUUCGAUUUGAUUGGUUUGUUCAUGGAAGCAAGGUUAAAAGGAACAGUUGGGGGUAUUCAUAUUCACUAGUUAGAGGUGAAAUUCUCGGAUUUAUGGAAGAUGAACAAGUGCGAAAGCA